AGAGAAUGUGCAUCAUCUGAACCUCCUGAAGUAUCCCCUGACAAUGCUGUGCCAGAGGCUGACAACUCCCAAGCAGACAGUAGUGAUAGUCAUGCUGGACCAUGUGCUGAGAGUCACAGUGUUGGGGUUGAGACAAACAGGGCCAACAACAGUGAAACGGAUAGUAUGCAUGGUGCAGAAGUGCCAGAACUGAACCACAGUCAUCCUGAGGACCAAGUAGCCAGAGGAUCAAUGUCUGAGAUCACUUUGAUACACGAUAGAGCACCAAGUAACACAGUAGGGCACAUCAGAACAAGAGUAGGAAGGGUACUAAAACCAGUUAACAGAUUGAUUCAGAACAUGACGCAGAGAAACAAACAAGCUAGUGGUGGAGUUAGUGGGUUAGCCAAAACUUUAUUUUUGUGAACAACCGUCAGUUAUCCUAUUGGAAUAGUUCAAAGUUAAUUAGCAAUGUGUAUAAUAUGUAUAAUUCUGUUAAGUAAGUUCAAUGUUGGAGUAACAGUCAUUUAUUCAUUAGGAUGAGAUUGUGUAUAAGGCACCUUCUUACGCAAGUGAACAUUGGAAGUCUGGCCAGCUUCCUUUUGACACUUUCCCUUUUGGUUGGGAGACGGUUUUGUCGCACAUAAGAGUACUGUGAUGUACUGUGAGAAAAUAAUGACAUGCUAUGUUAUGUUACUGUUAUUUAGAACUCUGCCAUUACCUGACCCUCAGUGUUUUGAGAAAUUCAGGGGGGAGUAUGUGGCUGAGUUAGUUUGUUAUAUUGUGAACAUUCUCAAAACUAUUUUUUUUUAUACUGAAAUUCUUCUGUUUUAUAUAUUGUGAAUUUUGUUUAAUGUGAAUGUAAUCAUUGUAUCUGUUGUAUAUAGUUCCUAUUUGUCUGUUGUAGCGGGGGGGGGGCUUUAAUUAAUGUAACACCCAUAGGACGCACAUGUGACGUACAGCAGACUCCUGGCAAAAGCUGGAGGACGCUUUUACAGGAGACAGAGAGCGCCUGACGUUACAUGUGCUGACUGUGCCCUUUACUGCUUGUCUUGUAGGUAUGUUGCAACGUUAAUUAUUGUCCUUCAUUGUUGCUGUUUAUAUUCAAUUGUUAAAUUUGUAUUUAUCGUAUUUGUGUAUAUAUGGUUAAUUAAAAAAAAAAAAAAAAAAAAAAAAGCUGGAGGACGCUUUUGCAGGAGACAGAGAGCGCCUGACGUUACAUGUGCUGACUGUGCCCUUUACUGCUUGUCUU
Erpetoichthys calabaricus (reedfish) is the source of this 1231-nucleotide long non-coding RNA. RefSeq lists it as uncharacterized. The record is from RefSeq and is a predicted model, not a curated record. NCBI's taxonomy places the organism in Eukaryota, Metazoa, Chordata, Cladistia, Polypteriformes, Polypteridae. The transcript has 2 exons.